RNAcentral lists this ribosomal RNA (253 nucleotides) under uncultured bacterium. RNAcentral describes it as "partial 16S ribosomal RNA". It matches the Rfam family "Bacterial small subunit ribosomal RNA", at positions 524 to 776 of the family's 1533-position model. The record is from RNAcentral.
GACGUAGGAUGCAAGCGUUGUUCGGAUUUAUUGGGCGUAAAGCGUACGUAGGCGGUUCGGCAAGUGGGAGGUUAAAGACCAGGGCUCAACCCUGGGAGUGCCCCCCAAACUGCCAGACUAGAGGGUCAUAGGGGAAAGUGGAAUUCCGAGUGUAGCGGUGAAAUGCGUAGAUAUUCGGAGGAACGCCAGUGGCGAAAGCGACUUUCUGGGUGAUUCCUGACGCUGAGGUACGAAAGCAUGGGGAGCAAACAGG